AGAUCGNAUGGAGAGAUUCAUCGUCGACGGCGCUGGCUACCGUUGGUGCGCGAUGCUCCGGAUGGGCCCCCGUGGUUCCAUUAGCGAGGGCACGCCAUCUUCGGAUCGAACGUUCCGGCGUCGUAGUCGUGCACUUCUCCCCUAGUAGGACGUCGCGACCCGUUGUGUGUCGGUCUACGGCCCGGGUGGGCGCCUGUCGCGUCGUUUCGGCGCACGCGGCAGACCCUCGGACGCCCGGCCGGCUGCACGACGGUACACUCACGGUAUCGGGCCGCAACCAAUCCAUUCUCGAAUGUAUUUGCGUCCGUCACGCCGCAAGCUCGGUCAGUUCUUACCCGGAGGUACGGACCCGGUGCCGUCCCCGGGCCUGGCCAGCUGCUAGCAGGCGACGAACUAGGACUGGCCAAACCUCGGAUUACCGGUCGGCGACGCUAUUGCUUUGGGUACUCUCAGGACCCGUCUUGAAACACGGACCAAGGAGUCUAACAUGUGCGCGAGUCAUUGGGAUGCAUAAACCUAAAGGCGAAAUGAAAGUGAAAGUCGGCCUUCGCGCCGAUCGAGGGAGGAUGGGCCGCGUAACACAUAUGUGCGGCCUCGCACUCCCGGGGCGUCUCGUUCUCAUUGCGAGAAGAGGCGCACCUAGAGCGUACACGUUGGGACCCGAAAGAUGGUGAACUAUGCCUGGUCAGGACGAAGUCAGGGGAAACCCUGAUGGAGGUCCGUAGCGAUUCUGACGUGCAAAUCGAUCGUCGGAACUGGGUAUAGGGGCGAAAGACUAAUCGAA
Molecule: ribosomal RNA, 784 nt
Filed under: Melipona marginata
Lineage: Eukaryota; Metazoa; Arthropoda; Insecta; Hymenoptera; Apidae
Description: eukaryotic LSU rRNA
Rfam family: Eukaryotic large subunit ribosomal RNA
Source: RNAcentral